This 775-nucleotide ribosomal RNA is filed under the name fungal sp. Its description in RNAcentral is "eukaryotic LSU rRNA". The stretch from base 466 to 775 matches the Rfam family "Eukaryotic large subunit ribosomal RNA", at positions 1 to 308 of the family's 3401-position model. The record is from RNAcentral. Lineage: Eukaryota; Fungi.
UACAAGAACGCCCGGGCUUCGGCCUGGUUAUUCAUAACCCUUUGUUGUCCGACUCUGUUGCCUCCGGGGCGACCCUGCCUUCGGGCGGGGGCUCCGGGUGGACACUUCAAACUCUUGCGUAACUUUGCAGUCUGAGUAAACUUAAUUAAUAAAUUAAAACUUUUAACAACGGAUCUCUUGGUUCUGGCAUCGAUGAAGAACGCAGCGAAAUGCGAUAAGUAAUGUGAAUUGCAGAAUUCAGUGAAUCAUCGAAUCUUUGAACGCACAUUGCGCCCCCUGGUAUUCCGGGGGGCAUGCCUGUUCGAGCGUCAUUUCACCACUCAAGCCUCGCUUGGUAUUGGGCAACGCGGUCCGCCGCGUGCCUCAAAUCGUCCGGCUGGGUCUUCUGUCCCCUAAGCGUUGUGGAAACUAUUCGCUAAAGGGUGUUCGGGAGGCUACGCCGUAAAACAACCCCAUUUCUAAGGUUGACCUCGGAUCAGGUAGGGAUACCCGCUGAACUUAAGCAUAUCAAUAAGCGGAGGAAAAGAAACCAACAGGGAUUGCUCUAGUAACGGCGAGUGAAGCAGCAAUAGCUCAAAUUUGAAAUCUGGCGUCUUCGACGUCCGAGUUGUAAUUUGUAGAGGAUGCUUCUGAGUGGCCACCGACCUAAGUUCCUUGGAACAGGACGUCAUAGAGGGUGAGAAUCCCGUAUGCGGUCGGAAAGGCGCUCUAUACGUAGCUCCUUCGACGAGUCGAGUUGUUUGGGAAUGCAGCUCUAAAUGGGAGGUAAAUUUCU